AGGAGAGUUUGAUCCUGGCUCAGGAUGAACGCUGGCGGCGUGCUUAACACAUGCAAGUCGAGCGAGAAGAAGCUGAACAGAGAUUCGUCAACGAGAAGCUUCAGACAGCGGCGGACGGGUGAGUAACGCGUAGGUAACCUACCUUUAGCUGAGGGAUAACCCAGGGAAACUUGGGAUAAUACCACAUAAUGCGGUUUGGUCACAUGGCCGGAUCGCCAAAGAUUUAUCGGCAAAAGAUGGACCUGCGUCUGAUUAGCCAGUUGGUGGGGUAACGGCCUACCAAAGCGACGAUCAGUAGCCGACCUGAGAGGGUGAUCGGCCACAUUGGAACUGAGACACGGUCCAAACUCCUACGGGAGGCAGCAGUGGGGAAUAUUGCACAAUGGGCGCAAGCCUGAUGCAGCAACGCCGCGUGAGCGAAGAAGGUCUUCGGAUUGUAAAGCUCUGUCCUUGGGGACGAAGAAGUGACGGUACCCGAGGAGGAAGCCCCGGCUAACUACGUGCCAGCAGCCGCGGUAAUACGUAGGGGGCGAGCGUUAUCCGGAAUUAUUGGGCGUAAAGAGUACGUAGGUGGCCACCUAAGCGCAAGGUGAAAGCCCGAGGCUUAACCUCGGCGAGCCUUGUGAACUGGGCGGCUUGAGUGCAGGAGGGGAAAGUGGAAUUCCUAGUGUAGCGGUGAAAUGCGUAGAUAUUAGGAGGAACACCAGUGGCGAAGGCGACUUUCUGGACUGUAACUGACACUGAGGUACGAAAGCGUGGGGAGCAAACAGGAUUAGAUACCCUGGUAGUCCCCU
Molecule: ribosomal RNA, 794 nt
Filed under: uncultured Bacillota bacterium
Lineage: Bacteria; Bacillati; Bacillota
Description: bacterial SSU rRNA
Rfam family: Bacterial small subunit ribosomal RNA
Source: RNAcentral